Long non-coding RNA from Thalassophryne amazonica, 507 nucleotides. RefSeq lists it as uncharacterized. NCBI's taxonomy places the organism in Eukaryota, Metazoa, Chordata, Actinopteri, Batrachoidiformes, Batrachoididae. The transcript is spliced from 2 exons. The record is from RefSeq and is a predicted model, not a curated record.
CCAUAGAUACAGUGGCUUGAAAAAGUAUUCAGCCCCCUUGAACUUUUCCACAUUUUGUCACAUUACAGCCACAAACAUGAAUCUAUUUUGUUGGAAUUCCAACAAAAUAACCAACACAAAGUGGCUUACAAUUGAGAAGUGGAACGAAAAUCCUACAUGAUUCAGAACAUUUUUUACAUAUAAAUAACUGAAAAGUGGGGUGUGCGUAAUUAUUCAACCCUCUUUGGUCUGAGUGCAGUCAGUUGCCCAUAGACAUUGCCUGAUGAUUGUUAAUGACUAAAUAAAGUGCACCUGUGUGUAAUCUAAUGUCAGUAUAAAUACAGCUGCUCUGUGAUGGCCUCAGAGUUGUUUAGGAGAAUUUUGGGAGCAAAGAAGUCCAAAGAACACACCACACAGGUCAGGGAUAAAGUUGUGGAGAAAUUUAAAGCAGGCUUAGGCUAUAAAAAGAUUUCCCAAGCCUUGAACAUCUCAUGGAGCACUGUUCAAUUGAUCAUUCAGAAAUGGAAG